AUAGGUUAAUGAGGCGAACCGGGGGAACUGAAACAUCUAAGUACCCCGAGGAAAAGAAAUCAACCGAGAUUCCCCCAGUAGCGGCGAGCGAACGGGGAGGAGCCCAGAGCCUGAAUCAGUGUGUGUGUUAGUGGAAGCGUCUGGAAAGGCGCGCGAUACAGGGUGACAGCCCCGUACACAAAAAUGCACAUAUUGUGAGCUCGAUGAGUAGGGCGGGACACGUGGUAUCCUGUCUGAAUAUGGGGGGACCAUCCUCCAAGGCUAAAUACUCCUGACUGACCGAUAGUGAACCAGUACCGUGAGGGAAAGGCGAAAAGAACCCCGGCGAGGGGAGUGAAAAAGAACCUGAAACCGUGUACGUACAAGCAGUGGGAGCCUCUUAAUGGGGUGACUGCGUACCUUUUGUAUAAUGGGUCAGCGACUUAUAUUCUGUAGCAAGGUUAACCGAAUAGGGGAGCCGAAGGGAAACCGAGUCUUAACUGGGCGUUAAGUUGCAGGGUAUAGACCCGAAACCCGGUGAUCUAGCCAUGGGCAGGUUGAAGGUUGGGUAACACUAACUGGAGGACCGAACCGACUAAUGUUGAAAAAUUAGCGGAUGACUUGUGGCUGGGGGUGAAAGGCCAAUCAAACCGGGAGAUAGCUGGUUCUCCCCGAAAGCUAUUUAGGUAGCGCCUCGUGAAUUCAUCUCCGGGGGUAGAGCACUGUUUCGGCAAGGGGGUCAUCCCGACUUACCAACCCGAUGCAAACUGCGAAUACCGGAGAAUGUUAUCACGGGAGACACACGGCGGGUGCUAACGUCCGUCGUGAAGAGGGAAACAACCCAGACCGCCAGCUAAGGUCCCAAAGUCAUGGUUAAGUGGGAAACGAUGUGGGAAGGCCCAGACAGCCAGGAUGUUGGCUUAGAAGCAGCCAUCAUUUAAAGAAAGCGUAAUAGCUCACUGGUCGAGUCGGCCUGCGCGGAAGAUGUAACGGGGCUAAACCAUGCACCGAAGCUGCGGCAGCGACGCUUAUGCGUUGUUGGGUAGGGGAGCGUUCUGUAAGCCUGUGAAGGUGUGCUGUGAGGCAUGCUGGAGGUAUCAGAAGUGCGAAUGCUGACAUAAGUAACGAUAAAGCGGGUGAAAAGCCCGCUCGCCGGAAGACCAAGGGUUCCUGUCCAACGUUAAUCGGGGCAGGGUGAGUCGACCCCUAAGGCGAGGCCGAAAGGCGUAGUCGAUGGGAAACAGGUUAAUAUUCCUGUACUUGGUGUUACUGCGAAGGGGGGACGGAGAAGGCUAUGUUGGCCGGGCGACGGUUGUCCCGGUUUAAGCGUGUAGGCUGGUUUUCCAGGAAAAUCCGG
RNAcentral lists this ribosomal RNA (1336 nucleotides) under Escherichia coli. RNAcentral's name for it is "partial 23S ribosomal RNA". It matches the Rfam family "Bacterial large subunit ribosomal RNA", at positions 166 to 1545 of the family's 2925-position model. The record is from RNAcentral. Lineage: Bacteria; Pseudomonadati; Pseudomonadota; Gammaproteobacteria; Enterobacterales; Enterobacteriaceae.